ACAAAAAGUCCCACACUGAGGUUUUUAAAAGCACUUUGUGACACUGUUUCCCUUCUUGAGACAAGAAAAUCAACUAGCAAAUGCAACAGUCUCUGGGCCGAAGCUUUUUUAGGUGGUGUUUACAAUCUAACUAUGAACACCUCUAAUUAAACAUUCUUUUCCUUUAAGGGAAGAAACUGGAGCCCCUUCAGGGUUGAGCCUGCUUAUUUAGUUGCCUCCAUUUGACUGCUGAACAGCUUCCCCCUUUUUCCCCAGAACCGUGCCUGGAGGAGGAGGCACGUAGAGGUGUGAUGCCUAUGGACUCGCCCGGAGGCAGAGGUGGAUGAUGGCUGGGAGGACACAGGGGAGCUGUACACACCCAGCCCCAGGUUUUACCUUCUCAUUGCUGUACAAAGGCACACUGAAGAGGCAGCGACUGAUCAGGGAAGAACGAGCAAUGCUCCCAAUAUUCACUACGAGAAGGAAGAGUUGGAAGGCGAGUCUCUGCUUAGAUCCUGUUAGAAGGGUCACCGCCCCAGUUCAUUUGUCCAUUGCACAAAAUCCCCACAAGACCCCUAGCUCAGCAUCACAGCAUGUGCAGCAAACUGUGCUGUGCUACUACGUAAAUAAGCGCAGUCACUUUCACAAUUUUUUAAUAUUACAGCUUCUAAACCAAAGAAAAAAGCCCCCACAGAGGCCCUGGUGUGAGUUUUAGCCAUGGGGCUGGAUAAUUCAUGGCUUGAUUUCUCAUAGAGGCUGCUCCUGGCUUGGAGAGACCACCAGAUCCUGUACACAGGCAUGCAGAUGCCAUUGGAGAGGCAGAGCCAUUGGCAUCACCAGCCCCACAGCUGGAAGCAUUGGAAAGAGAAACAGGAGGACUCUACCCUGAGAGAGCAGGACCACCACUGUAAGUCAAGCCACGGCAUUCAUCAAUCACCUUGGAGCUACGUGGGCACUAUGUGGGGCCUUCUGCAAGCCGGUCUAUGGGGCUGGUUGUUCAUCUGAGACAAAGUGGCACUGUUUAAGAGUGUGAAAAGGAAGGAGUGGCAGACAACAUGUGACACUCAGAGACGAUUAUGACUCUAAGGAAGGUUACAAGUGCAAAGUAACUUUUGUAUUUUCUCAAAUUGGUAACAGCAUUAUUUACUAUUGAGGUACUGUGUCCAGUUCUGGUCCCCACAGUUCAAGAAAAAUGCAGACAGAUUGGAGACAGUCCUAGAAAACUUGUCUGAAGAGGAAAGACUGAAUGGGUUAGGUCUUAUCCUCCCAAAGAAGAUUCAGGGGGGCCUCAUCUCAUCACAGAAUUUCAGCACUCAAAGGGCAACUACAAGGACGAAAGAGGUUCUCUGUUUACAAUGAUCCACAAGCAGAAGAGAAGGAGUAAUGGGUACAACUUGCACCAGGAGAGAUUUCAUCUUGAUAUAAAAAGAAUUUGUUUUUUUACAGUGAGAACAGUUGUUCACCUGAACAAUCACCCCAGGGAUGUAGUGGAGUUGACAUCACCAGAUGUUUUCAAGGUGCAACUGGACUAGGUGCUCAGAAGUCUCAUCUGAGGGGACAAAUAAUAAAGCCCCAAUAUUUGAGAUGAUUUGAAGAGGCUACCAAAUGCUUUAAUUCCUGGGGACUUUUAUUUGGGAGUCAUUGCUGGCAAGGUUCUGUUUUGGACAUGGGCUUGUUGUAGAGUUGGGUAGGACAGGCUAGAGCAGCAGCAGAGAAUGAAAUCUUUUGGCCAUUCUCAGCUUCCCUUGAUAGCUCAUUUGCAGCCCCACCAAUACCAGGGCUCUGUGAUUGCUCUAGCAGUUAAUCCUGUUCCACAUCAUGACAAACGUAGCCAGAGGUCAGCUUCAAAACUGACUCAUCAGCUAGGGCUCUCACACAGAAACAGCCAGGACUGAAAGCUUUUGGCAGCCCUCACCUUCCCUUGCCAGCUCGUUAAAAGCCCCAAUAACACUGGGGCUCUGCAGUUGCUCUACUGCCUAACCCUCACCCACCACCUCAGUCUCACCCAGGGUCCAGCUCCAAAGCACACUCCAGCCACCCAGGGCUCCCAACAGAAGUAGCCAGGAGUGAGAGGUGUUGGCAAUCCUCACCUUUCAUUGGCAGACCCUUCACAGUCAAACUUGCAGUGGGUCUCAGUGUUUGCUCUCGCACGUUGUAAUGGUCACUGACAUCAUGACGCACAGGUCCACCCCAAACUCUGCCAGCAAUGGCUCCCUAGAAAAUGUGGCCAAGUCUGAAAGCUUUGGUACCCCUCACCUUUCUUUUGCAGCUCCUUUGCACCCCCACAAAUACUGCAGGGCUCUCUCUUGUACCUAUGUCUAAUUCUCACCCUUGUAUUAACCCUUAUCAGAUCCCAGCUCCAACAGGGAGCCAGCUGUGGCUCUCAUUUUCAUGGCCUAGACCAAAAGCUUUUGAAUGUCCUCACGCUCCCUUGGCUGUUCCUUCAUAGCCCCAUAAACACUGGGGCUUUGCUUUUUGUCCUGCACCUAUAGCUAAGCUUAACCCUCCCACUAGUCCUAACAAGAACCCAGCUAAUGGGACACCCAGCUCUCUCUGGCUCUCAGGCAGAAGUGGCAGCCAUUACCUCACCUCAGCUUUCACAGCCCUCCUAACCCCUUGGUUCUGCUCUUUGUCUUGCACUGCCACUCUUUUCCAGACCCUCAUCCUGCCCUAAGCCCUUGUCCAACAUGAGCCUUGCCAGCAAAGGCUGUCCACCAGGCACCAGCUCUUAGCCAUUUCAGUCUUCAUCAAUUCCCAGUAUACUCAAAAAGGGAGAAUUACCUUUAAGCAUUUCUUAUGGAAAGAGGACACUAGUACAAUUUUUUAAUAUUGGGUUGGAGAUUCCAUGACAGAAAAAUAAUUUUAAAACCUCUACAAUUGACACACCAAAGUAUGCAUAUGCAACUAACAGUAAAAUUAAAACAACCUCCCCAGCCUUCCAGAUUUUCUUGGUAUAGUUUGCUGUCUAAAACUCAGCUCCAUACUAUUUCUUCAAAAUUAUCACUAAAGUAUUUGAAUAGAAUAGUAAAUUUUUAAAAUUCCACAGCAGAAAUCAGGAGGAAGAUGGGAUCCUCUUCCACAGUUUUGAUAUUAAAUUUUAUAAGACUCAAUACUGUGCCCAGGGAUUAAGUAAAAUGCAUAUGAGGAGACAAAAGGGACAGAAAAGUGAAAGUGUAUAUACACACACACAUAUGUAUACACAUACACAUAUAUACAUAUAUACACACACAUAUACACAUAAAAUACACAAAGAUGGAAAAAAUAUUUCUGUAAAGAUUUCGAAGACUUAAAAUAAAGGAGGGAUCAAAGCAAUAGCACAUAACAGUACAAAAACUCCCAAGAAUAUACUUGAUUGCAAUUCUCAUUCCAUAAUUUAACAACAGUUCUAAAUCUGCUUGCAUGAGUCCACAGAAGACACACUGGUAGUGAAAUGAGUAGAAGAGAUCUCCAGAUAAAAGGUACGUUUACUCUUGCAUGUGUUGUAUACAUAUGCCAUACUUAAAAAAUGGGGUUUUUUGCUACUUUUGAAAGACACAGACUGCACUGCAGGUAUUUUGCCUUUCUAGUGUAGCACAAUAGAGUUUUAGUUCCCCUUCUGUAAAAGACCUUGAGGAUUUGUCUCACAGAAUUUUUCACAACAGCAGAAAAACAAAAAAUUAAAAUCUAAAUUAGAAGCUUUCCUAAAGGUUAUGUCAUAAAGAAUGAGCAAUGUUCACGAAUUAUACUGUGAUCUGCAAGUUAUCAGGCAAUGAAAAAACAGAAGUUUACAUAAAUGAAGUGAUUGACAUAUCUAUUAACUGCAAACCCUCUGCAACAAGGGGUGAAAUUAAAAAUCAGCAGUCAAAAGGGCAUAAAUCAGUAGUCAGUCUAAGAGAUGAACCAACCCGGAAAAACACAGUUUUGUGCAGCUGGUCAGAGACCAAUACAGCAAAAUCAGUUAAAGUUCAGUGAUUCAUUAUGAGAUUCUCAAAACUAUCUGAUAAAUUCAGAGUAAAAGUUCCAAGGUCACACCACUGCUUCUGGGAAUCCUAUCUCUGAAACACUUGGUUUUGCUAUCUGUUUCUUCUUCUCCAUACUACUAUCCAGCCACUUCAUACACCAAAGUGUAUACUAUUAGCAUGAGAUUUACUUUCGCAUGUGUAAUUCCUAAAGAACACCAUGAAAAUAAAAAGCCCAAACUUAAAUAAAAUUGGAAUUGCAUUUAUUUUGCCUCAGUUGUAUGGUUUUUUAAGAUUCACUACUACUUAUGUACCUGAAAUACGAUUUUGUUUCACAAUAGCUUCUAUAUCUACAAGUGUGGAAACCACAUACAGUUUUGCA
Long non-coding RNA from Pseudopipra pipra, 4299 nucleotides. RefSeq lists it as uncharacterized. The transcript has 3 exons. NCBI's taxonomy places the organism in Eukaryota, Metazoa, Chordata, Aves, Passeriformes, Pipridae. The record is from RefSeq and is a predicted model, not a curated record.